RNAcentral lists this unclassified non-coding RNA (387 nucleotides) under soil metagenome. RNAcentral's name for it is "partial contains 5.8S ribosomal RNA, internal transcribed spacer 2, and large subunit ribosomal RNA". The stretch from base 1 to 122 matches the Rfam family "5.8S ribosomal RNA", at positions 35 to 154 of the family's 154-position model. The record is from RNAcentral.
GAUGAAGAACGCAGCGAAAUGCGAUAAGUAAUGUGAAUUGCAGAAUUCAGUGAAUCAUCGAAUCUUUGAACGCACCUUGCACCCUUUGGACUGCUCCAAAGGGUAUGCUCGUUUGAGUGUCAUUGUACUCUCACACUCUCUGAUCCUUUGGAUUUGGGGAGCAGUGGACUUGGGUGCUUGCUGCUUCCUUGUGGCUCACCUGAAUUGCAUCAGUGCAUCUCUCGAUUGGACAUAGUACGGCGUGAUAAGUGUCUUCGCCGGCACCUCAUAUGAGGGUGGCCGAUCGGGAGCUCUGUGCUUUCAAACCGUCUUCGGACAACGCUGACAACUUGACCUCAAAUCGAGUAGGACUACCCGCUGAACUUAAGCAUAUCAAUAAGCGGAGGA